This 309-nucleotide ribosomal RNA is filed under the name uncultured bacterium. RNAcentral's name for it is "partial 16S ribosomal RNA". It matches the Rfam family "Bacterial small subunit ribosomal RNA", at positions 1 to 334 of the family's 1533-position model. The record is from RNAcentral.
CUAGCGACUUCAGAGUUUGAUCCUGGCUCAGAGCGAACGCUGGCGGCAGGCUUAACACAUGCAAGUCGAGCGCCGUAGCAAUACGGAGCGGCAGACGGGUGAGUAACACGUGGGAACGUGCCUUCUGGUUCGGAAUAACUCAGGGAAACUUGAGCUAAUACCGGAUAAGCCCUUCGGGGGAAAGAUUUAUCGCCGGAAGAUCGGCCCGCGUAAGAUUAGCUAGUUGGUGAGGUAAUGGCUCACCAAGGCUACGAUCUUUAGCUGGUCUGAGAGGAUGAUCAGCCACACUGGGACUGAGACACGGCCCAG